This 253-nucleotide ribosomal RNA is filed under the name uncultured prokaryote. Its description in RNAcentral is "partial 16S ribosomal RNA". It matches the Rfam family "Bacterial small subunit ribosomal RNA", at positions 524 to 776 of the family's 1533-position model. The record is from RNAcentral.
UACAGAGGGUGCAAGCGUUAAUCGGAAUGACUGGGCGUAAAGGGCAUGUAGGUGGUUAUUUAAGUUGAGUGUAAAAUUUCCGGGCUUAACCUGGGAGCUGCACUCGAAACUGGAGGACUAGAGUCUGGGAGGGGGAAGUGGAAUUUCCGGUGUAGCGGUGAAAUGCGUAGAUAUCGGAAAGAACAUCGAUGGCGAAGGCAGCUUUCUGGCCUAAGACUGACACUGAGGUGCGAAAGCGUGGGGAGCAAACAGG